RNAcentral lists this transfer RNA (74 nucleotides) under Chelonia mydas (Green sea turtle). It matches the Rfam family "tRNA". Rfam says of the family: Transfer RNA (tRNA) molecules are approximately 80 nucleotides in length. Their secondary structure includes four short double-helical elements and three loops (D, anti-codon, and T loops). The record is from Rfam by way of RNAcentral. Lineage: Eukaryota; Metazoa; Chordata; Testudines; Cheloniidae.
GGUUCUAUGGUAUAAUGGUCACCAUUCUGGAUUUUGAAUCCAGUCAUCUGAGUUCACAAAUCUCAGAAGAGCCA